This 624-nucleotide ribosomal RNA is filed under the name Salmonella enterica. RNAcentral's name for it is "partial 23S ribosomal RNA". It matches the Rfam family "Bacterial large subunit ribosomal RNA", at positions 567 to 1190 of the family's 2925-position model. RNAcentral also lists the same sequence under 1 other name. The record is from RNAcentral. Lineage: Bacteria; Pseudomonadati; Pseudomonadota; Gammaproteobacteria; Enterobacterales; Enterobacteriaceae.
CAAGCAGUGGGAGCACAGGUUUACCUGUGUGACUGCGUACCUUUUGUAUAAUGGGUCAGCGACUUAUAUUCUGUAGCAAGGUUAACCGAAUAGGGGAGCCGGAGGGAAACCGAGUCUUAAUUGGGCGUUAAGUUGCAGGGUAUAGACCCGAAACCCGGUGAUCUAGCCAUGGGCAGGUUGAAGGUUGGGUAACACUAACUGGAGGACCGAACCGACUAAUGUUGAAAAAUUAGCGGAUGACCUGUGGCUGGGGGUGAAAGGCCAAUCAAACCGGGAGAUAGCUGGUUCUCCCCGAAAGCUAUUUAGGUAGCGCCUCGUGAAUUCAUCUCCGGGGGUAGAGCACUGUUUCGGCUAGGGGGCCAUCCCGGCUUACCAACCCGAUGCAAACUGCGAAUACCGGAGAAUGUUAUCACGGGAGACACACGGCGGGUGCUAACGUCCGUCGUGAAGAGGGAAACAACCCAGACCGCCAGCUAAGGUCCCAAAGUCAUGGUUAAGUGGGAAACGAUGUGGGAAGGCCCAGACAGCCAGGAUGUUGGCUUAGAAGCAGCCAUCAUUUAAAGAAAGCGUAAUAGCUCACUGGUCGAGUCGGCCUGCGCGGAAGAUGUAACGGGGCUAAACCAU